GCUCUCCUCCCAGAAAAACAGAAGACCAAUGCCAUGCUGCUGGCCUGGGAGAGCACUGGCCGGGGGUGGGGGACAUCGUUGGACUCUCUGAACGAACAGGGCACCUCGGUGCUUCUCUAUGGAUUACAGCGAAGUCUUCCAGGGAUGCAGAAUAAACAUCCUUACAACCCAUCUCCACAGCCCCUUGGGAUCCCCUUCCAAAUGUCAACAAACAAGAAAAGAGGAGGCCACUAUACAACAGUUGUAAAGAUGUCCUCCAGCCAGUCAUAGAGAUGAUCCUGAAGGCACUUACCAUUUAUUGAGUGCCUACUGUGUGCCAGGCACUGUGUUAGGUGCUUAACAUGCCCAGACUCUGGUCCUCACCUAACCCUCUAGGACAAAUGUUCUUCUCUCUCUCUCUCUCCUGGAUAGACGAAGAGGCAGAGGUCUAGGAAGGUAAAGGAGAGAACCCAGUUGGUACCAACACCUUCCUGAGGGUCAGGCCAAACUCUCACAAGCAGCAAAGGAAAGCUGACUGUCAACAGGAGAGCUCACACCUGAGUCCUAAGAGGGCGUGGAGCACAUCAGAUAGGCUAGUUUACUCUUUUACUGAUGUAGCAGAUGAUAGAUUCUGACUCAUCCACCUCCAUCAUCCUCAACACCCAACAACAGCGCUCCUGUGUCCAAGGCUGGAAUCACAGGUGGGCUUCUCUUCAGAAUGCGUAGAAUGGUUACUGUUUUAGCAGUUAAGAUCCCUCCAACUGUUUGCCUGGCAAAUAUUGCUUUGCUUACCUAAGGCCUACAGAAAAAACAGCAAGGAGCUCCUCAAAAAGACAAGUUCUAUGAAAAACAUCACCAGCCAGGUGGCUCUCCAGACCUCCACGGGCCAUUUUGCCAUAGGAAAGAUGCAUCAGAGAAGAACCAGGACACAGCCAUGAAAUGAAUACUGCUCCCCACAACUCUUCACUGUGAAAAUGGAAAUUUUACAUGGACCAGUGACGGCAAUGUGUCCAACCAAAAUCUCUCAGGAAGCUUUUAUUGAGCACCUAAUCUGUGCCUCAACAAAGCACAGAAUAUAUAAGACAUGGAUCCCGAAGUCAAUGAGCUUACAGACCAGGUGAUGGCCCCACAAGAAUACCUAGCACACAGUUAUUUAUUGAUCUUGUUUACAGUAUCUAAUACGCCAUCACAGCAGAAAUCGAGGCCAGGGCAAAAUAAGAAAGAAAAAACGAAACUCGAGGAAAUUUUGAACCAAAAAAAAUCAAGCUUAAAAUGCACGUAAGAAUAACCUACACAUGGAGUCACAUUUGGCUCUAAGCUUUCUAAAACUCAAGAGGAUAAAGGCAUGCUAGGUAUGCCUUUAAAGGUACACUAUUCACAAUGUCCAAGAGAAAAAAACAAAUCAAUUGGUCAGGAUUAUUUAACUCCAGUCAUUUCUCAACUGCUGAGAAUGGGAUAAGGCUAGGAGCAAGCAGGGCGUGCAGCCCUAUUUCCCGGAUCUCUUUGGGGAGGUAAUAAUGAGAAGGCUUGAGUGUGAGGCCAGCUAGUCUCAUUGUUUCCACUGGUAGACAAGAAUAAUGACCCCACAGGGUGUUGGUGGUUUGCUGAGGUCAGAGAGCUGGUCAGUGGCAGAGCUAGGACGAAGACCUGGGUAUCUUCACACCAUGCUAACAGUGCCUCCCUCCCACAUGAAGCUACUCCGCGUCACCCUUUCAAAUCCACAGGCUGGCUGGAUGGGUAGGGGCUCACAUGGACGUUGAAGAAGGAGGAGACCUGUUCUAGAUUAAAGGGCACCUAAGAACCGAACAACAGCUAGAUACGCUAUGUAGAUUUCAUAUGGAUGCCAGUUCUAACCAGCCAACUGUAAAAAGCCAUUUUGCGGACAAUCAGAUAAGUGUGAAUUGCAACUUGGGAUUAGAUCAAGUUAAUAAUGUCAGUUUUGGCCAGGCACAGUGGCUCAUGCCUGAAAUAUCAGCACUUUGGGAGGCUGAGGCAGGCAGACUGCUUGAGCCCAGGAGUCCUAGACCAGCCCGGGCAACAUGGUGAAACCCCAAUGCUACCAAAAGUAAAAAAAAAAAAAAAAA
Molecule: long non-coding RNA, 2063 nt
Filed under: Macaca fascicularis (crab-eating macaque)
Lineage: Eukaryota; Metazoa; Chordata; Mammalia; Primates; Cercopithecidae
Description: lncRNA (ENSMFAG00000055409.1)
Source: RNAcentral